RNAcentral lists this ribosomal RNA (407 nucleotides) under uncultured bacterium. RNAcentral describes it as "partial 16S ribosomal RNA". It matches the Rfam family "Bacterial small subunit ribosomal RNA", at positions 30 to 526 of the family's 1533-position model. The record is from RNAcentral.
AUUGAACGCUGGCGGCAGGCCUAACACAUGCAAGUCGAGCGGAGCGGCGGACGGGUGAGUAAUACCUAGGAAUCUGCCUGGUAGUGGGGGAUAACGUUCGGCAACGGACGCUAAUACCGCAUACUAUCAGAUGAGCCUAGGUCGGAUUAGCUAGUUGGUGAGGUAAUGGCUCACCAAGGCUACGCUCCGUACCGGGUCUGAGAGGAUGAGCAGUCACACUGGAACUGAGACACUGUCCAGACUCCGACGGGAGGAAGAAGUGGGGAAGAUUGGACAAUGGGCGAAAGCCUGAGCCAGCCAUGCCGCGUGUGUGAAGAAGGUCUUCGGAUUGUAAAGUACUUUAAGGUGGGAGGCGUUACCGACAGAAUAAGCACCGGCUAACUCUGUGCCAGCAGCCGCGGUAAUAC